RNAcentral lists this ribosomal RNA (253 nucleotides) under uncultured bacterium. Its description in RNAcentral is "partial 16S ribosomal RNA". It matches the Rfam family "Archaeal small subunit ribosomal RNA", at positions 474 to 727 of the family's 1478-position model. The record is from RNAcentral.
UACCAGCACCCCGAGUGGUCGGGACGAUUAUUGGGCCUAAAGCAUCCGUAGCCGGUCCUGCAAGUCUUCCGUUAAAUCCAACUGCUUAACAGGUGGGCUGCGGAAGAUACUAUAGAGCUAGGAGGCGGGAGAGGCAAGCGGUACUCGAUGGGUAGGGGUAAAAUCCGUUGAUCCAUUGAAGACCACCAGUGGCGAAGGCGGCUUGCCAGAACGCGCUCGACGGUGAGGGAUGAAAGCUGGGGGAGCAAACCGG